Molecule: ribosomal RNA, 476 nt
Filed under: uncultured bacterium
Lineage: Bacteria
Description: partial 16S ribosomal RNA
Rfam family: Bacterial small subunit ribosomal RNA
Source: RNAcentral
GAUGAACGCUCGCGGCAGGCCUAACACAUGCAAGUCGAGGGAGAAGCCUUUCGGGGCAGCAACCGGCGCACGGGUGCGUAACGCGUAUGCAACCUACCUUUCACAGGGGGAUAGCCCGAAGAAAUUUGGAUUAAUACCCCAUAAUAUUGUUGGAUGGCAUCAUCUGAUAAUUAAAACUGCGGUGGUGAAAGAUGGGCAUGCGUCCUAUUAGCUAGUUGGAGUGGUAACGGCACCCCAAGGCUACGAUAGGUAGGGGUCCUGAGAGGGAGAUCCCCCACACUGGUACUGAGACAGGGACCAGACUCCUACGGGAGGCAGCAGUGAGGAAUAUUGGUCAAUGGUCGGAAGACUGAACCAGCCAUGCCGCGUGCAGGAAGAAUGCCUUAUGGGUUGUAAACUGCUUUUAUAUGGGAAGAAUAAGGUGUACGUGUACAUUGAUGACGGUACCAUAUGAAUAAGCAUCGGCUAACUCCGUG